RNAcentral lists this transfer RNA (74 nucleotides) under Saccoglossus kowalevskii. RNAcentral describes it as "tRNA-Ile". It matches the Rfam family "tRNA". Rfam says of the family: Transfer RNA (tRNA) molecules are approximately 80 nucleotides in length. Their secondary structure includes four short double-helical elements and three loops (D, anti-codon, and T loops). The record is from RNAcentral. Lineage: Eukaryota; Metazoa; Hemichordata; Enteropneusta; Harrimaniidae.
UUCCCAGUGGCACAAUCGGUUAGCGCGCCGUACUUAUAAUGCGGAGGUUGUGAGUUCGAGCCUCACCUGGGGAA